GACGAACGCUGGCGGCGUGCCUAAUACAUGCAAGUAGAACGCUGAAGGAGGAGCUUGCUUCUCUGGAUGAGUUGCGAACGGGUGAGUAACGCGUAGGUAACCUGCCUGGUAGUGGGGGAUAACUAUUGGAAACGAUAGCUAAUACCGCAUAAUAGCAGUUGUUGCAUGAUAACUGUUUGAAAGGUGCAAUUGCACCGCUACCAGAUGGACCUGCGUUGUAUUAGCUAGUUGGUGGGGUAACGGCUCAACAAGGCGACGAGACAUAGCCGACCUGAGAGGGGGAUCGGCCAAACUGGGACUGAGACACGGCCCAGACUCCUACGGGAGGCAGCAGUAGGGAAUCUUCGGCAAUGGACGGAAGUCUGACCGAGCAACGCCGCGUGAGUGAAGAAGGUUUUCGGAUCGUAAAGCUCUGUUGUACGAGAAGAACGAGUGUGAGAGUGGAAAGUUCACACUGUGACGGUAUCUUACCAGAAAGGGACGGCUAACUACGUG
RNAcentral lists this ribosomal RNA (495 nucleotides) under uncultured bacterium. RNAcentral's name for it is "partial 16S ribosomal RNA". It matches the Rfam family "Bacterial small subunit ribosomal RNA", at positions 28 to 507 of the family's 1533-position model. The record is from RNAcentral.